RNAcentral lists this ribosomal RNA (226 nucleotides) under uncultured bacterium. RNAcentral's name for it is "partial 16S ribosomal RNA". It matches the Rfam family "Bacterial small subunit ribosomal RNA", at positions 15 to 235 of the family's 1533-position model. The record is from RNAcentral.
GAUCAUGGCUCAGGAUGAACGCUAGCGACAGGCUUAACACAUGCAAGUCGAGGGGCAGCGGGGAGUAGCAAUACUCUGCCGGCGACCGGCGCACGGGUGAGUAACGCGUAUGCAACUUGCCUAUCAGAGGAGAAUAGCUCAUCGAAAGAUGAAUUAAUGCUCCAUAAAACAGGGGUUCCGCAUGGGAAUAUUUGUUAAAGAUUUAUCGGUGAUGGAUGGGGAUGCG